GAUGAAGAACGUAGCGAAAUGCGAUAAGUAAUGUGAAUUGCAGAAUUCAGUGAAUCAUCGAAUCUUUGAACGCACAUUGCGCCCGCUAGUAUUCUGGCGGGCAUGCCUGUCCGAGCGUCAUUUCAACCCUCAAGCCCCCGGGCUUGGUGUUGGGGAUCGGCGAGCCUCCGCGCCCGCCGUCCCCUAAAUCUAGUGGCGGUCUCGCUGUAGCUUCCUCUGCGUAGUAGCACACCUCGCACUGGGAAACAGCGCGGCCACGCCGUUAAACCCCCAACUUCUGAAAGUUUGACCUCGGAUCAGGUAGGAAUACCCGCUGAACUUAAGCAUAUCAAUAAGCGGAGGA
Molecule: unclassified non-coding RNA, 343 nt
Filed under: soil metagenome
Description: partial contains 5.8S ribosomal RNA, internal transcribed spacer 2, and large subunit ribosomal RNA
Rfam family: 5.8S ribosomal RNA (bases 1-120)
Source: RNAcentral